AUCGAUAAUCCACGAUAANUUUCACUUUAAUUAAAAAUUUAUAUACCGCCAUCUAAAGACUUAAUUCUAAAAUAUUUUCCAAAUAAUUAAUAAAAAGUUAGGUCAAGGUGUAAUCCAUAAUAAAGACUAAAUGAAUUACAAUAAAUAAAACUUAAAGAUUAUAAAUAUAUAUAUUUAUAUAAAUAAGGAUUUAAAAGUAAUAUAAAAACAAUAAUUUAAUAUGAUAAAGAUAAUAAAUGUGCACACAUCGCCC
This 253-nucleotide ribosomal RNA is filed under the name Draconarius triatus. RNAcentral's name for it is "partial 12S ribosomal RNA". Lineage: Eukaryota; Metazoa; Arthropoda; Arachnida; Araneae; Agelenidae. The record is from RNAcentral.